UACGUAGGGUGCAAGCGUUGUCCGGAAUUAUUGGGCGUAAAGAGCUCGUAGGCGGUUUGUCGCGUCUGCUGUGAAAACCCGAGGCUCAACCUCGGGCCUGCAGUGGGUACGGGCAGGCUAGAGUGCGGUAGGGGAGACUGGAAUUCCUGGUGUAGCGGUGUAAUGCGCAGAUAUCAGGAGGAACACCGGUGGCGAAGGCGGGUCUCUGGGCCGUAACUGACGCUGAGGAGCGAAAGCAUGGGGAGCGAACAGG
Molecule: ribosomal RNA, 253 nt
Filed under: uncultured bacterium
Lineage: Bacteria
Description: partial 16S ribosomal RNA
Rfam family: Bacterial small subunit ribosomal RNA
Source: RNAcentral